GCUUCGACCGCUACGACGGGACGAUGCAGUUUUAUCACCGCGUCAACGCGCUCCUUAUGCCGGAUUUCACCGUCGUUGAUUUCGGUGCAGGCCGCGGCGUCAAUCAUAUCGAAGAUCAGAUAAAAUAUCGGCGCGAGCUACUGAAGAUCAAAGGCAAGGUUAGGGAGACCAUCGGAGUCGAUGUCGACAAUGCGGUAAAAACCAAUCCCGCACUCGACCGCUCCAUCGUCAUUACAGGAUCCGAAAU
RNAcentral lists this unclassified non-coding RNA (247 nucleotides) under Hevea brasiliensis (rubber tree). The record is from RNAcentral. Lineage: Eukaryota; Viridiplantae; Streptophyta; Magnoliopsida; Malpighiales; Euphorbiaceae.